RNAcentral lists this ribosomal RNA (790 nucleotides) under uncultured archaeon. RNAcentral's name for it is "bacterial SSU rRNA". It matches the Rfam family "Archaeal small subunit ribosomal RNA", at positions 55 to 853 of the family's 1478-position model. The record is from RNAcentral.
GAGUCAACAUAGCAAUAUGUGGCAUACGGCUCAGUAACACGUAGUCAACAUGCCCAGGGGACGUGGAUAACCUCGGGAAACUGAGGAUAAACCGCGAUAGGUCAUCACUUCUGGAAUGGGUAAUGACUUAAAUCUAUAUGGCCCCUGGAUUGGACUGCGGCCGAUCAGGCUGUUGGUGAGGUAAUGGCCCACCAAACCUGUAACCGGUACGGGCUCUGAGAGGAGGAGCCCGGAGAUGGGCACUGAGACAAGGGCCCAGGCCCUAUGGGGCGCAGCAGGCGCGAAACCUCUGCAAUAGGCGAAAGCUUGACAGGGUUACUCUGAGUGAUUUCCGUUAAGGAGAUCUUUUGGCACCUCUAAAAAUGGUGCAGAAUAAGGGGUGGGCAAGUCUGGUGUCAGCCGCCGCGGUAAUACCAGCACCCCGAGUGGUCGGGACGUUUAUUGGGCCUAAAGCAUCCGUAGCCGGUUCUACAAGUCUUCCGUUAAAUCCACCUGCUUAACAGAUGGGCUGCGGAAGAUACUAUAGAGCUAGGAGGCGGGAGAGGCAAGCGGUACUCGAUGGGUAGGGGUAAAAUCCGUUGAUCCAUUGAAGACCACCAGUGGCGAAGGCGGCUUGCCAGAACGCGCUCGACGGUGAGGGAUGAAAGCUGGGGGAGCAAACCGGAUUAGAUACCCGGGUAGUCCCAGCUGUAAACGAUGCAAACUCGGUGAUGAGUUGGCUUAUUGCUAACUCAGUGCCGCAGGGAAGCCGUUAAGUUUGCCGCCUGGGGAGUACGGUCGCAAGACUGAA